CCUGCCCACUGAAAUUUUAAAUGGCCGCAGUAAUUUGACUGUGCAAAGGUAGCAUAAUCAUUAGUUUUUUAAUUAAAAGCUUGUAUGAAUGGUUGGACGAGGUAAAUUCUGUCUUUAUUUAAAUAAAAUUAGAAUUUAAUUUUUAAGUUAAAAAGCUUAAAUAAAUAUAAAAGACGAGAAGACCCUAUAGAUCUUUAUAUUAUUAUAAUAUAAUUUUAAUAAAGAAUUUUUAAUUUUUUAUAUUAUAUAGUAUUUUAUUGGGGUAAUAAAAAGAUUAAAUUAAUUCUUUUUGAUAUCUUACAUUUAUUUAUGAAUUUAAUGAUCCAAGUUUUUUGAUUAUAAGAUUAAGUUACCUUAGGGAUAACAGCGUAAUUUUUUUAGAGAGUUCAUAUCGAUAAAAAAGUUUGCGACCUCGAUGUUGGAUUAAAAAUUGUUUUAGGCGCAGAAGUUUAAAAAUUUGGUCUGUUCGACCAUUAAAUUUUUACAUGAUCUGAGUUCAGACCGGUGUAAGCCAGGUCGGUUUCUAUCUUUAUAAUUUUAUAAUAUUUUAGUACGAAAGGACCAAAUAUUUAAUAUAUUAAUAUUUAUAUUUUGAAUAUUAUUAAU
Molecule: ribosomal RNA, 606 nt
Filed under: Papuadytes bimaculatus
Lineage: Eukaryota; Metazoa; Arthropoda; Insecta; Coleoptera; Dytiscidae
Description: partial 16S ribosomal RNA
Rfam family: Bacterial large subunit ribosomal RNA
Source: RNAcentral